ACGGCAGCACGGGAGCAAUCCUGGUGGCGAGUGGCGAACGGGUGAGUAAAGUAUCGGAACGUGCCCAGUCGUGGGGGAUAACGCAGCGAAAGUUGUGCUAAUACCGCAUACGAUCUAUGGAUGAAAGCGGGGGAUCGCAAGACCUCGCGCGAUUGGAGCGGCCGAUAUCAGAUUAGGUAGUUGGUGGGGUAAAGGCUCACCAAGCCGACGAUCUGUAGCUGGUCUGAGAGGACGACCAGCCACACUGGAACUGAGACACGGUCCAGACUCCUACGGGAGGCAGCAGUGGGGAAUUUUGGACAAUGGGCGCAAGCCUGAUCCAGCAAUGCCGCGUGCAGGAUGAAGGCCUUCGGGUUGUAAACUGCUUUUGUACGGAACGAAAAGGCUCUGGUUAAUACCUGGGGCACAUGACGGUACCGUAAGAAUAAGCACCGGCUAACUACGUGCCAGCAGCCGCGGUAAUACGUAGGGUGCGAGCGUUAAUCGGAAUUACUGGGCGUAAAGCGUGCGCAGGCGGUAAUGCAAGACAGAUGUGAAAUCCCCGGGCUUAACCUGGGAACUGCAUUUGUGACUGCAUUGCUGGAGUGCGGCAGAGGGGGAUGGAAUUCCGCGUGUAGCAGUGAAAUGCGUAGAUAUGCGGAGGAACACCGAUGGCGAAGGCAAUCCCCCUGGGCCUGCACUGACGCUCAUGCACGAA
RNAcentral lists this ribosomal RNA (697 nucleotides) under uncultured Variovorax sp. RNAcentral's name for it is "bacterial SSU rRNA". It matches the Rfam family "Bacterial small subunit ribosomal RNA", at positions 66 to 757 of the family's 1533-position model. Lineage: Bacteria; Pseudomonadati; Pseudomonadota; Betaproteobacteria; Burkholderiales; Comamonadaceae. The record is from RNAcentral.